RNAcentral lists this ribosomal RNA (510 nucleotides) under Macrolophus sp. WCW-2003. RNAcentral describes it as "partial 16S ribosomal RNA". The stretch from base 384 to 510 matches the Rfam family "Bacterial large subunit ribosomal RNA", at positions 2473 to 2600 of the family's 2925-position model. Lineage: Eukaryota; Metazoa; Arthropoda; Insecta; Hemiptera; Miridae. The record is from RNAcentral.
GUCCUUUUGAUUUUAUAAAAGGUCUGGCCUGCUCUAUGACACUAGUUAAAUGGCUGCAGUAUUUUGACUGUACAAAGGUAGCAUAAUCAUUUGUUCUUUAAUUGGGGACUGGUAUGAAUGGUUUGAUGAAAAAUGUUCUUUCUUUUUUAUAUAAUAAUAACUUAAUGUCUGAGUGAUAAAUCUUAGAUUAUUUUAUAGGACGAGAAGACCCUAUAGAGCUUUAUAUAAUUUGAAGUUAUUAUUAUUAGUUUUAAAAUUUUUAAUUUUUAUUUUUUUAUUUUGUUGGGGUGACGGGAAAAAUUUAUAAACUUUUCUGAUAUUUUAUUUCAUUUAUUUAUGUUAUUGAUCCUUAAUUUAGGAUUGUUAGAUUAAGCUACCUUAGGGAUAACAGCGUUAUUGUUUUGUAGAGUUCUUAUCGAUGAAAUAGUUUGCGACCUCGAUGUUGGAUUAAAAUAAGUUAUGGGGGUAGUUUUUCAUAUUCUAGGUCUGUUCGACCUUUAAUUUUUUACA